This 400-nucleotide ribosomal RNA is filed under the name uncultured bacterium. RNAcentral describes it as "bacterial SSU rRNA". It matches the Rfam family "Bacterial small subunit ribosomal RNA", at positions 30 to 430 of the family's 1533-position model. The record is from RNAcentral.
AUUGAACGCUGGCGGCGUGCCUAACACAUGCAAGUCGAGCGGUAACAGGUGUAGCAAUACAUGCUGACGAGCGGCGAACGGGUGAGUAAUGCUUCGGAAUCUGCCCAUGUAGUGGGGAAUAACCAGCCGAAAGGUUGGCUAAUACCGCAUACGACCUACGGGUGAAAGCAGGGGAUCGCAAGACCUUGCGCUAUUGGAUGAGCCGAAGUCGGAUAGCUUGUUGGUGAGGUAACGGCUCACCAAGGCGACGAUCCGUAGCUGGUCUGAGAGGACGACCAGCCACACUGGGACUGAGACACGGCCCAGACUCCUACGGGAGGCAGCAGUGGGAAUAUUGGACAAUGGGGCAACCCUGAUCCAGCGACGCCGCGUGUGUGAAGAAGGCCUGCGGGUUGUAAAG